CCUCCCUGCUUUCACUCUUCCAUUUCCUGCUUCCUCAUCUGAACAAACCUCACGCUCUGCAUACGUUACUUUAUCUGAUUCCAUGUGAACGACGCCUUUCUAGGCAUCAUUGAGCCGACAGCAGCCAGAGAUUCAUUGAAAUAAGUGGGGCAGUUGACAGACAGAAGAAAAAAAUAUUAACCUCGGCCUUUUCAAAGACAAGCCUCGAUUCACGCAUCUUAAACAACUUCUAAAGACCUGAACUCUCGACUCUGAUCACCAAGAUUUCUUCAGAUUUUUUGGGGGGCGGCAGCAGAAACUUAAAAAUGUGGAGCACAUUUAGAUUCAACACUUCGGCUGACAUCAGUAAAAAUCUCAGAGCAAGUCUGGAGAAUUUUGUGAGGCUGUAUGGCCAACGCAAAGAUGAUCUUCAGCAAGCUUCUGAGCAUUUCAUGCAUGCAGCAGCUCUAGUUGAUAAAAAGCAUGAGGAUUUUGAUGACAAGACGGCCCAGGCUCUGUUAGGUAUGUUUGGAGGGACUAUUGGUACAGUUUUUGGGGGUGUUACUGGUGGUGUAUGGGCUGCUUUGGGAGCAGUUAGUGCAGCAACUUAUGCCAAGUUUUGUGGCAACAUUAAUGCAGCUAGUGCAACUGUGGGCUUUGUAGGCGGUGUCUUUGGGGGAGUGGUGGGAGGAGCAUUUUCGGGGCUUAUUGGUGGAUUAGUUGGUGUUGCAGCUCUAGCAGCAGGUAGAGAAGUUCAUGGGAUCGUGAGUGAUUCAAUAUGGUUUACUGUUGGCUUUGCCAUUGGUGGUGCAACUGGUAGCACAUUUGGCGGGUCAGUUGGUGCAGCAGGUGGUGCUGUAGGUGGUGGGUUUGGUGCUUUGCAUGCUACAAAAGCUGCAGUUUAUCUAGUCAGAAAAGCCAUUGAUUUUCCUUCUAAAACAAAAGUUCGAAAAGGAAAUGGAAAGCUAAAGAAAGAAGUAGUCACCAUGCAGAAAACUGGAGCAGAUUUCAUUAAAAGCAUCAAACCGCUGGUGGACGAGCUAAAAACGGUGCAAGAGAUUUGUGACCAAAUGGCCUCCUGUGACGCUGUGAAAGGCGUCGCUAAUCAGACUGCAAAGACUCUGGCUGCAGUGAACGCAAUGGAGAAAACGAUGAACGACAGUCAGAUGGAGGCAGACGAGUCAGAGUUUCUCCGCUGUGUUAAAGAAGCAUCGAGCCAAUGCAAGAUAAUCCCCGUGGAGCUGCAGAUGAUGAGAGAGGAAGUGGAGAAACUUCUGGUUUCACCGUAGAAACACUUUGCUGUCGGUGAAACAGGAGCUCUGAAAUGUUCUGUCUUGAUGGUUUCAUCUGUUUUACCUAGCUGUUUGUUUUUUAUUUGUUUAUUUGUUUCUGUUGUUAACUGCUCAUUUUGUAGUUCUUAUACGCUCUUUAUACAGAAUCAGCUGUGUUAAUAUACGUCGGUUGUCUCAUCUUUAUACAAAAUACUGUUAUACUUCAUUUACAGAGAACAGAUGAGACAUUAUACCUAAAUUCAGAAUCUGCAUGUUACACUGGCAAAAACAAAAAAAAAAUCUCUAACAAAAAUUUUAAAGUGGAAUGACAAAAUGACAAAGUUAAAAGAAAUUAAAAAUAAUUAGAAAAAUAAAUGAUCUGGAUCUAAAGCAGUUAUACAGUAAAGUGAAUAUUUAACAUCUAAAUAAAUUAAAUAAAGUCCUAACAGCUAUUCCCAAAGUGUGGGGCCUGCAGUACUGUCAUUGUUCUGAACGAAAACAAAAAAGCAAAAGAAAAAAUACCCCUUUGUAGUUAAAUGUGAAGUUUCUGUUAAAAACUUUAAAUGCUAAAUACAAUUAAAAAAAAAAAAAAAAAAGAUUUAUAUAUGAUAAAAUAGAUGAAGUAAAAAGGGUUUAGUAAAAAAAGCUGUUCUAAAGCCUCUAAGCUCGGAGUCUCAAACCCGCGGUCCAGGGGCCCCUUGCGGCCCACAUCACCCCUACUUGCAGCCCACAGAUUGAUGUGGAGAAAAAAACAAACAAAACACAACAUUUUCAGAAAUAUUUAUGGCUGUUUUCUUGUUUGUUUGUUUUGUACUACUUGAACACUAAAGUAGCCCUCGAUGAGAUGACAGUGCCAGUAGUGCCCUGCAGCAAAAUCUUAAUCUCCUGACAGUCGUGUUGAAAGAGAAGUUUUUUGUUUUUACAUUAUAGCAGCAGUCAAACAGGAUCUAUAAUACAUGGAACUCAUGUGUACCCAGUCAAAGAAAACAAAGAAGCUCUGUUUGUUUUUAAAACAUGCAAAGAUUUGUUAAGUUUAAGUGUAUGAGGCUGUGUUUCAACUGGAUUAAAAAUGUCA
Molecule: long non-coding RNA, 2325 nt
Organism: Oreochromis aureus
Lineage: Eukaryota; Metazoa; Chordata; Actinopteri; Cichliformes; Cichlidae
Source: Ensembl